Molecule: ribosomal RNA, 259 nt
Filed under: uncultured bacterium
Lineage: Bacteria
Description: partial 16S ribosomal RNA
Rfam family: Bacterial small subunit ribosomal RNA
Source: RNAcentral
GUCCACGCUGUAAACGAUGAGUGCUAGGUGUUGGGGUCGAACCUCAGUGCCGCAGCUAACGCAUUAAGCACUCCGCCUGGGGAGUACGUACGCAAGUAUGAAACUCAAAGGAAUUGACGGGGACCCGCACAAGUAGCGGAGCAUGUGGUUUAAUUCGAAGCAACGCGAAGAACCUUACCAACAUUUGACAUCCCUCUGACCGGUCUAGAGAUAGACCUUCUCUUCGGAGCAGAGGUGACAGGUGGUGCAUGGUUGUCGU